This 497-nucleotide ribosomal RNA is filed under the name uncultured bacterium. Its description in RNAcentral is "partial 16S ribosomal RNA". It matches the Rfam family "Bacterial small subunit ribosomal RNA", at positions 28 to 507 of the family's 1533-position model. The record is from RNAcentral.
GAUGAACGCUGGCGGCGUGCCUAAUACAUGCAAGUCGAGCGAACGGACGAGAAGCUUGCUUCUCUGUUGUGAGCGGCGGGCGGGUGAGUAACACGUGGAUAACCUACCUAUAAGAGGGGGAUAACUUCGGGAAACCGGAGCUAAUACCGGAUAAUAUUUUGAAACACAGGGUUCAAAAGUGAAAGAAGGUCUUGCUGUCACUUAUAGAUGGAUCCGCGCUGCAUUAGCUAGUUGGUAAGGUAACGGCCUACCAAGGCAACGAUGCAUAGCCGGCCUGAGAGGGUGAUCGGCCACACUGGAACUGAGACACGGUCCAGACUCCUACGGGAGGCAGCAGUAGGGAAUAUUCCGCAAUGGGCGAAAGCCUGACCGAGCAACGCCGCGUGAGUGAUGAAGGUCUUCGGAUCGUAAAACUCUGUUAUUUGGGAGGAACAUAUGUGUAUUUAUCCGUUCACAUUUUGACGGUACCUAAUCAGAAAGCCACGGCUAACUACGUG